Molecule: long non-coding RNA, 1605 nt
Filed under: Phasianus colchicus (ring-necked pheasant)
Lineage: Eukaryota; Metazoa; Chordata; Aves; Galliformes; Phasianidae
Description: lncRNA (ENSPCLG00000000332.1)
Source: RNAcentral
AUGGUCGGGGCCGGCUCCCUCCAACCCCGGCUCUGCAGCCGGCUCCGGGCGAUCACGCAACACAAAUGGCCUUUAACGCUCCCCGAAACCGAACAUUUCCCUCUAAUCCUGCGAAGAAAAGAGUCGCCGGGUUGGCAGUUUAGUAAGAAAGGGAGCGCAUUGGGGCAGAUAUGCUCAUUAACGUGCCGGCCUCUCCCCUCCCCUGCCCGCUUCCUGUGCCUGGCCCCUUCCCCGCUGCCGCUCUCCCUCCCCGCACGCCGGGCUGCGGCACUUCCCUCCAUUUUCCCCCCCGUUUCCUUUUCUGCCCUCCCUGCCCCGCUCCCCGCCGAACCGCCGCAGCCCUUUUGUGCCCCCUCCCUGCCCCCCUCCCCCCGCCCCGUGCUCCAUUGCCCCUUUGCAUUCCGUAAAAGCUCGCUUGAAAGAAAAGAAACAAAACAAAACAAAAAACCACAAACCGGCCCCUCCUCUCCCAGCGAAGACCAGGCCUGGGAAGUCUCCUGGGCAGCCACCAUCACGGCCAGCCGCUGCUCCAGCCGCUCGAGGCUCGUUACCAUGCUCAUCGCGGUGCCCGGUGCCGGCGGGCAGGGCAGGCGGUGGCCCCCGGGUCCCCUCGGUACGGAGCGGCUACUGCAUCCCCGCUGCCCUGCACAAAGGGAACGGAGUGAUGACAAUGACACCUCGCUGUCCCCGUCUCCCACCCGCCCUUCCCAGCGCGGGGACAACCCGACGCUUCUUUACGGUUCGGGGAAAGGCAGGAAUGGAAAUCCUCCUGCGGGGCAGCGAUUUCAAACACCGCGGUUCUCCUCUUCAGGCUACAGCAUCCCAGUGUCCCCUGACCCCUCGCCCCAAGGGUGUCACCGCAGCCCCCGGCACUGUGUUGCCGCACCGCAGGGACACCCCCCCGCAGCCUCUCUCCCCGGGAUCUCCCCGGGCCCGGCGGCAGGAGGACGAGGAGGAGGAGGAGGUGUUUCCCACGCACCCCCCGGCGGCUGCCCCGCAGCUGAGCGCACCCCGGCUCCGGCCGCCCGCUGCCCUCCGUGCGCAGCUCGAGGGAUGACUUCACGCUUCAGGCACCACCGGGAGCCGCUCUCCUGCGGAAAGAGAGAAAGAAGAUGGACUGACACAUCGUCGGCCCACGGAGAGGAAAACAAAGGUGUUUAUACCGAGUACGGCCAAUGCCACCGCGGGCUCCCGGAAACCCUCCCGUCCGCCCCAGUGCCCGCGGGGUUGAUGACUGAAGCAUCCCCGGACCCUCCCAGCCCCGAAGGCAUCACUUGUCGCUUCGCCGUCGGGAACGCGGGGCCCCGUGGCUUUGCCGUGGUCUGCCGUCCCUCGGCCGUCCCGGCAUCGCGGGAGAAGCCCAGCGCCCGCCCCCUCCGUGACAGCCCCGGCCGGGCCCCGCGGAGCGCAGCGCCGAGGCGAGCACUUGGAAAGGCUGCAGUGGGGACGAGAAAACAGUCCGCACGUCCCCUGCCCCAGACAAAGCAUCCCGAGUCCACGUGGGGUAUAAUCUUCUCUGCUCCCUUGUUAUUGCUGCUGGGUACAGCAGAAAACUGGAUAUCAGGAAGGAGAGGGAAUAUUGUUAGCCUGCUGCGAUGGAAAUAA